CCUACGGGAGGCAGCAGUGAGGAAUAUUGGUCAAUGGGCGCGAGCCUGAACCAGCCAAGUAGCGUGAAGGAUGACUGCCCUACGGGUUGUAAACUUCUUUUAUAAAGGAAUAAAGUGAGGCACGUGUGCCUUUUUGUAUGUACUUUAUGAAUAAGGAUCGGCUACAUCCGUGCCAGCAGCCGCGGUAAUCCGGAGGAUCCGAGCGUUACCCGGGUUUAUUGGGUUUAAAGGGGGCGUAGUUGGGUUGUUAAGUCAGUUGUGAAAGUUUGCGGCUCAACCGUAAAAUUGCAAUUGAUACUGGCAGCCUUGAGUACAGUUGAGGUAGGCGGAAUUCGUGGUGUAGCGGUGAAAUGCUUAGAUAUCACGAAGAACUCCGAUUGCGAAGGCAGCUUACUAAGCUGCCACUGACAUUGAUGCUCGAAAGUGUGGGUAUCAAACAGGAUUAGAUACCCCAGUAGUC
This 460-nucleotide ribosomal RNA is filed under the name uncultured bacterium. Its description in RNAcentral is "partial 16S ribosomal RNA". It matches the Rfam family "Bacterial small subunit ribosomal RNA", at positions 338 to 795 of the family's 1533-position model. The record is from RNAcentral.